RNAcentral lists this ribosomal RNA (718 nucleotides) under Phyllactinia alni. RNAcentral's name for it is "eukaryotic LSU rRNA". It matches the Rfam family "Eukaryotic large subunit ribosomal RNA", at positions 81 to 814 of the family's 3401-position model. The record is from RNAcentral. Lineage: Eukaryota; Fungi; Ascomycota; Leotiomycetes; Helotiales; Erysiphaceae.
UAGUAACGGCGAGUGAAGCGGUAACAGCUCAAAUUUGAAAUCUGGCUCCCUGCGGAGUCCGAGUUGUAAUUUGUAGAAGAUGCUUUGGGUGCACGAUCCGGCCUAAGUGCCUUGGAACAGGACGUCAUAGAGGGUGAGAAUCCCGUAUGCGGCCGGUAUCGACGCCCAUGUAAAGCUCUUUCGACGAGUCGAGUUGUUUGGGAAUGCAGCUCAAAAUGGGUGGUAAAUUUCAUCUAAAGCUAAAUAUGGGCCAGAGACCGAUAGCGCACAAGUAGAGUGAUCGAAAGAUGAAAAGCACUUUGGAAAGAGAGUUAAACAGUACGUGAAAUUGUUGAAAGGGAAGCGCUUGCAACCAGACUUGGGCGUCGCUGAUCAUCCAAAGUUCUCUUUGGUGCACUCGACGACGCACAGGCCAGCAUCGGUUGGGGUGGUGGGAGAAAGACUGCAGGAACGUAGCUCUUUUCGGAGAGUGUUAUAGCCUGCGGUGCAAUACCGCCUACCUCGACCGAGGACCGCGCUUCGGCUAGGAUGCUGGCGUAAUGGUUGUAAGCGACCCGUCUUGAAACACGGACCAAGGAGUCUAACAUCUAUGCGAGUGUUUGGGUGCGAAACCCAUGCGCGAAAUGAAAGUGAACGUAGGUGAGAACCCUUUGAGGGGGCAUCAUCGACCGAUCCUGAUGUCUUCGGAUGGAUUUGAGUAAGAGCAUAGCUGUUGGGA